ACUUACCUCUUGGAGAUUGAGGGUUGGUGUGAUCCCUAACUUGGAGAUGGGAGAAAACUACUCCUUGGGUCUCCAAGCUCCCAAAACUUAGAUCUAAGCUUGAAAACUCUUCAAAACAACCAAGAAACUCAUAAAGACAAGAAGGAAAUGAAGAAAAACAUGAAAACGGCCAAGGGAGGACAAAAACUCACCUGAGCUCGAGAAUGGGGAGAAAACUCGCCCAUUUCCGAUCUGAGGGCUCUUUAUAGUGGCCUGGUCAAAGACCUUCGGCAGCCUAAC
RNAcentral lists this long non-coding RNA (279 nucleotides) under Manihot esculenta (cassava). RNAcentral's name for it is "long non-coding RNA (MESC_LNC000446)". The record is from RNAcentral. Lineage: Eukaryota; Viridiplantae; Streptophyta; Magnoliopsida; Malpighiales; Euphorbiaceae.